This 301-nucleotide ribosomal RNA is filed under the name uncultured bacterium. Its description in RNAcentral is "partial 16S ribosomal RNA". It matches the Rfam family "Bacterial small subunit ribosomal RNA", at positions 509 to 808 of the family's 1533-position model. The record is from RNAcentral.
CAGCCGCCGCGGUAACACGUAGGGUGCAAGCGUUAAUCGGAAUUACUGGGCGUAAAGCGUGCGUAGGCGGUGAGUUAAGUCUGCUGUGAAAUCCCCGGGCUCAACCUGGGAAUGGCAGUGGAUACUGGCUCGCUAGAGUGUGUCAGAGGAUGGUGGAAUUCCCGGUGUAGCGGUGAAAUGCGUAGAGAUCGGGAGGAACAUCAGUGGCGAAGGCGGCCAUCUGGGACAACACUGACGCUGAGGCACGAAAGCGUGGGGAGCAAACAGGAUUAGAUACCCCAGUAGUCCCUGUCUCUUAACA